Molecule: ribosomal RNA, 1373 nt
Filed under: uncultured bacterium
Lineage: Bacteria
Description: bacterial SSU rRNA
Rfam family: Bacterial small subunit ribosomal RNA
Source: RNAcentral
GAUGAACGCUGGCGGCGUGCCUAAUACAUGCAAGUCGAGCGAACNGGACGAGAAGCUUGCUUCUCUGAUGUUAGCGGCGGACGGGUGAGUAACACGUGGAUAACCUACCUAUAAGACUGGGAUAACUUCGGGAAACCGUAGCUAAUACCGGAUAAUAUUUUGAACCGCAUGGUUCAAAAGUGAAAGACGGUCUUGCUGUCACUUAUAGAUGGAUCCGCGCUGCAUUAGCUAGUUGGUAAGGUAACGGCUUACCAAGGCAACGAUGCAUAGCCGACCUGAGAGGGUGAUCGGCCACACUGGAACUGAGACACGGUCCAGACUCCUACGGGAGGCAGCAGUAGGGAAUCUUCCGCAAUGGGCGAAAGCCUGACGGAGCAACGCCGCGUGAGUGAUGAAGGUCUUCGGAUCGUAAAACUCUGUUAUUAGGGAAGAACAUAUGUGUAAGUAACUGUGCACAUCUUGACGGUACCUAAUCAGAAAGCCACGGCUAACUACGUGCCAGCAGCCGCGGUAAUACGUAGGUGGCAAGCGUUAUCCGGAAUUAUUGGGCGUAAAGCGCGCGUAGGCGGUUUUUUAAGUCUGAUGUGAAAGCCCACGGCUCAACCGUGGAGGGUCAUUGGAAACUGGAAAACUUGAGUGCAGAAGAGGAAAGUGGAAUUCCAUGUGUAGCGGUGAAAUGCGCAGAGAUAUGGAGGAACACCAGUGGCGAAGGCGACUUUCUGGUCUGUAACUGACGCUGAUGUGCGAAAGCGUGGGGAUCAAACAGGAUUAGAUACCCUGGUAGUCCACGCCGUAAACGAUGAGUGCUAAGUGUUAGGGGGUUUCCGCCCCUUAGUGCUGCAGCUAACGCAUUAAGCACUCCGCCUGGGGAGUACGACCGCAAGGUUGAAACUCAAAGGAAUUGACGGGGACCCGCACAAGCGGUGGAGCAUGUGGUUUAAUUCGAAGCAACGCGAAGAACCUUACCAAAUCUUGACAUCCUUUGACAACUCUAGAGAUAGAGCCUUCCCCUUCGGGGGACAAAGUGACAGGUGGUGCAUGGUUGUCGUCAGCUCGUGUCGUGAGAUGUUGGGUUAAGUCCCGCAACGAGCGCAACCCUUAAGCUUAGUUGCCAUCAUUAAGUUGGGCACUCUAAGUUGACUGCCGGUGACAAACCGGAGGAAGGUGGGGAUGACGUCAAAUCAUCAUGCCCCUUAUGAUUUGGGCUACACACGUGCUACAAUGGACAAUACAAAGGGCAGCGAAACCGCGAGGUCAAGCAAAUCCCAUAAAGUUGUUCUCAGUUCGGAUUGUAGUCUGCAACUCGACUACAUGAAGCUGGAAUCGCUAGUAAUCGUAGAUCAGCAUGCUACGGUGAAUACGUUCCCGGGUCU